RNAcentral lists this transfer RNA (76 nucleotides) under Desulfomonile tiedjei. Its description in RNAcentral is "tRNA-Met". It matches the Rfam family "tRNA". Rfam says of the family: Transfer RNA (tRNA) molecules are approximately 80 nucleotides in length. Lineage: Bacteria; Pseudomonadati; Thermodesulfobacteriota; Desulfomonilia; Desulfomonilales; Desulfomonilaceae. RNAcentral also lists the same sequence under 7 other names. The record is from RNAcentral.
GGGCCCAUAGCUCAGCUGGUAGAGCUCCCGGCUCAUAACCGGUUGGUCCCUGGUUCGAAUCCAGGUGGGCCCACCA